Molecule: ribosomal RNA, 301 nt
Filed under: uncultured bacterium
Lineage: Bacteria
Description: partial 16S ribosomal RNA
Rfam family: Bacterial small subunit ribosomal RNA
Source: RNAcentral
CAGCCGCCGCGGUAAUACGAAGGGGGCUAGCGUUGUUCGGAUUUACUGGGCGUAAAGGGCGCGUAGGCGGACUGAUAAGUCAGGGGUGAAAUCCCAAGGCUCAACCUUGGAACUGCCUUUGAUACUGUUUGUCUUGAGUUCGAGAGAGGUAAGUGGAACUGCGAGUGUAGAGGUGAAAUUCGUAGAUAUUCGCAAGAACACCAGUGGCGAAGGCGGCUUACUGGCUCGAAGCUGACGCUGAGGCGCGAAAGCGUGGGGAGCAAACAGGAUUAGAGACCCCCGUAGUCCCUGUCUCUUAUAC